AGCGUCCAGCCAGGCUGUCCCUGUUUGCCCACCAUGUAAGCAAGAUGGAAACUAUGGAGGUGCUGGAUGGUCUGGAGUUCAUGUGCUAGUGGCUAGAAGCCAUCCCUGCUCCAUCCCUGCCAGCUAGCUGCUGUGACUCACCACAGCCCUGCCACCUGCCAGGCCUUUCCCAGGCUGCUCUGGUCUGGAAGCCUGGCAGCCGUGCAGUGCCCUGCAGAGCGGAAGAAGUGGCAGAAGCAGCAUUCAGGAGUUGUCUUUUAAUGGGGCUGUAGACAUCAGUGGCUGAUUCUUACAAAAGCAGUCAAGGGAACCAUCACCUCUCUCUCUCCUGUUCAGCUUCAGUGAUAGGCCCCGGGAAGGGUGCUUUCAGAAGCAAAGCAUUAGGAUCCCUUAAGGCCUGCCUCUCCUGAAGCCAAGUGACAUAAUGUGGACAAGCCUCCUGGGGUCUUGUGGACUUCCUGGGGGUAUUUCUGUGAAGGAACCUCCAAGGGUUCCAUGGAAACCACCUGAAAGAACAAAGCGGUAUAAAGAUGCAUGCCCCGCCCCUUUCCUGAGCCUUUCCCCGCCCUUUCCCUUUUGUGUGGAUAAGGGUGCCCCCUAGUGGCUUCCCUCGCCUCUACAUGGGCCUCCCAAAGUCCCUGCAGUUGGAGGGGUUUUGCAUGCUUAUACUUAUUUCUCUGUUCCUGGCUUGGGCUCUUCCCUCUUUCUAGCCCUUCCCGCCCCCCAGCUGAUGCCUUCAAAAUAGCUCAUAGUAUAUGUGUCUUUCCUGCCUUGACUUCAGAAUUCAGGGGUGGGUUCCUGCAGACCGGGAGAAAUGCUGUUAGAGGGAUGGACUUAGAAUAUGUAUUAGUUAUUAAUACUAUCCUUUUUUUUUUUUUUUGCCACGAGAUAUUAACCAGGCAGGAAGCCGCUUGAGGAAAGAGGAUUUAUUUUGUCUCACUGUUUCUUUGGAAAGGAAUGGCGGUGAGAUUAGCUUCUGUCUCUAGCUGCAGGAGCUUGGAGCACAACUCACUCACAACAUGGCGGGUAAGGAGGCAGAGAAAAUGAUUAUAACUGCGUUGGGCCUCCUAAAUCCUCUUUCUUUAGUGAAAUCUGUCCUUCCAAAGGUUCCACAGGCUCCCUCACAAAGCACUGCCAGCCGGGGACCAAUUUAAACAGAUGAGCCUUGGGGUAAGGCGGAGAAGGCGGCCAGGGGUGGGGAACAGGUAGAAAUGAUGAAGGCUGUGAAAAGCUACUGUGGAAUUCUGCCCUCCCUGGCAUGGCCAUCACCAUCUCAAAACCAGAGCAGCUCUGAUUACCCACACACCUCCCACUGAGGCAAGAUGGAUAAGCAAGAUGGAAACUAUGGGGACAGAGGAAGGGACAAGAGCCCCCUUAUGCCAGCCUCUCACCAGCUGAGGAGCCAGAAUUCCAGCACACAAACUCUUGUUACAAAGGCUGCCACUGGGAAAUAAUAUUCCUUUUGUGUGUAGAUAAAAGUAACAAUGAACCAGGCU
Molecule: long non-coding RNA, 1496 nt
Filed under: Mus pahari (shrew mouse)
Lineage: Eukaryota; Metazoa; Chordata; Mammalia; Rodentia; Muridae
Description: lncRNA (MGP_PahariEiJ_G0005570.1)
Source: RNAcentral